AGCGAACGCUGGCGGCAGGCCUAACACAUGCAAGUCGAACGAACCUUUCGGUGUUAGUGGCGGACGGGUGAGUAACACGUGGGAACGUGUCUUUAGGUUCGGUCUAACUCAGGGACACUUGUGCUAAUAACGAAUGUGCCCUUCGGGGGAAAGAUUUAUCGCCUUUAGAGCGGCCCGCGUCUGAUUCGCUAGUUGGCUGAGGUAAUGGCUCACCAAGGCGACGAUCAGUAGCUGGUCUGAGAGGAUGAUCAGCCACAUUGGGACUGAGACACGGCCCAAACUCCUACGGGAGGCAGCAGUGGUGAAUCUUGCGCAAUGGGCGAAAGCCUGACGCAGCCAUGCCGCGUGAAUGAUGAAGGUCUUAGGAUUGUAAAAUGCUUUCACCGGGGACGAUAAUGACGGUACCCGGAGAAGAAGCCCCGGCUAACUGCGUG
This 434-nucleotide ribosomal RNA is filed under the name uncultured bacterium. RNAcentral describes it as "partial 16S ribosomal RNA". It matches the Rfam family "Bacterial small subunit ribosomal RNA", at positions 29 to 507 of the family's 1533-position model. The record is from RNAcentral.